AUGCACGCUGGCGGCGUGCCUCCUACAUCCGAGCCGCGCGAACAGACGAGGAGCUUGCUCCUCUGACGUUAGCGGCGGACGGGUGAGUAACACGUGGAUAACCUACCUAUAAGACUGGGAUAACUUCGGGAAACCGGAGCUAAUACCGGAUAAUAUAUUGAACCGCAUGAUUACAUAGUGAAAGACGGUUUUGCUGUCACUUAUAGAUGGAUCCGCGCCGCAUUAGCUAGUUGGUAAGGUAACGGCUUACCAAGGCAACGAUGCGUAGCCGACCUGAGAGGGUCAUCGGCCACACUGGAACGGAGACACGGCUCAGAUGCCAACGGGAGGCAGUAGUAGGGAAGCUGCUGCGAUGGGCGAAAGCCUGACGGAGUAACGCCGCGUGAGUGAUGAAGGUCGUCGGAUCGUAAAACUCUGUGAUGAGGGAAGAACAAGUGUGUACGGAACUAUGCACGGCUUGACGGUACCUAGUCAGAAGGCCACGGCAAAGUACGGG
RNAcentral lists this ribosomal RNA (496 nucleotides) under uncultured bacterium. RNAcentral's name for it is "partial 16S ribosomal RNA". It matches the Rfam family "Bacterial small subunit ribosomal RNA", at positions 29 to 507 of the family's 1533-position model. The record is from RNAcentral.